This 505-nucleotide ribosomal RNA is filed under the name uncultured glomeraceous AM fungus. RNAcentral describes it as "SSU rRNA". It matches the Rfam family "Eukaryotic small subunit ribosomal RNA", at positions 590 to 1098 of the family's 1831-position model. Lineage: Eukaryota; Fungi; Glomeromycota; Glomeromycetes; Glomerales; Glomeraceae. The record is from RNAcentral.
UCCAAUAGCGUAUAUUAAAGUUGUUGCAGUUAAAAAGCUCGCAGUUGAAUUUCGGGAUCAAUUUAUUGGUCGUGCUAUUGUACGUACUGGUAUUAUUGAUUCCUACCUUCUGACGAACCAUGAUGUCAUUAAUUUGGUGUCAUGGGGAAUCAGGACUGUUACUUUGAAAAAAUUAGAGUGUUUAAAGCAGGCUCGCGCUUGAAUACAUUAGCAUGGAAUAAUGAAAUAGGACGUUAAUCCUAUUUUGUUGGUUUCUAGGAUCGACGUAAUGAUUAAUAGGGAUAGUUGGGGGCAUUAGUAUUCAAUUGUCAGAGGUGAAAUUCUUGGAUUUAUUGAAGACUAACUACUGCGAAAGCAUUUGCCAAGGAUGUUUUCAUUAAUCAAGAACGAAAGUUAGGGGAUCGAAGACGAUCAGAUACCGUCGUAGUCUUAACCAUUAACUAUGCCGACUAGGGAUCGGAUGAUGUUAAUUUUUUAAUGACUCAUUCGGCGCCUUACGGGAAAC